CGUCUAUAUACGUAUAGCAUAUCAAUAAGCGGAGGAAAAGAAACUAACAAGGAUUCCCUUAGUAACGGCGAGUGAAGCGGGAGAGCUCAAAUUUGAAAUCUUCAAGGUUCUACCUUGACGAAUUGUAGUUUAAAGAAGUGUUUUCUGUUAGAUGAGUAGCAAAAGUUCCUUGGAAUGGGACAUCAUAGAGGGUGAGAAUCCCGUAUUUGGUUAUUCAUUCUAGCUUUGUGAUACACUUUCAAAGAGUCGGAUUGUUUGGGAAUGCAGUCCAAAAUGGGUGGUAAAUUUCAUCUAAAGCUAAAUAUUGGCGAGAGACCGAUAGCGAACAAGUACCGUGAGGGAAAGAUGAAAAGAACUUUGAAAAGAGAGUUAAACAGUACGUGAAAUUGUCAAAAGGGAAGCGUUUGACACCAGUGUUGUUUUUCCGAAAAUCAAUUACGAAUGUUUUAUUUUUGAGGAGUUAUGACUUCAUCGGCUUGCUCCUUUCUUUACGAAACUUUCUUAAUGCACUUUUCGGUUAACAAGUCAACAUCAAUUUCUUUUGUUGUAAAAGGGUAUGAGGAAGGUGGCUUUCUUUUCGGAGAAAGUGUUUAUAGCCUUGUGCCUCUACAAUCGGAGAGAUUGAGGUCUGCAGCGUAGAUCCUUCGGGGUUAGAUACAUUUGUGCUAAGUUAUAGCUUUUCAUAGACAACUUGUUGACUAUGUUUAGUCUUGUAGCUUACUCGCUUACUGCUAUUUUACCUACGCUUAGGAUGUUGACUGAUAUGUAGUCGUA
Molecule: ribosomal RNA, 774 nt
Filed under: uncultured Neocallimastigales
Lineage: Eukaryota; Fungi; Neocallimastigomycota; Neocallimastigomycetes; Neocallimastigales
Description: partial large subunit ribosomal RNA
Rfam family: Eukaryotic large subunit ribosomal RNA
Source: RNAcentral